GUGGGGAAUCUUAGACAAUGGGGGCAACCCUGAUCUAGCCAUGCCGCGUGAGUGAUGAAGGCCUUAGGGUCGUAAAGCUCUUUCGCUGGGGAAGAUAAUGACGGUACCCAGUAAAGAAACCCCGGCUAACUCCGUGCCAGCAGCCGCGGUAAUACGGAGGGGGUUAGCGUUGUUCGGAAUUACUGGGCGUAAAGCGCGCGUAGGCGGAUUGGAAAGUUGGGGGUGAAAUCCCGGGGCUCAACCCUGGAAUGGCCUUCAAAACUCCCAGUCUUGAGGUCGAGAGAGGUGAGUGGAACUCCGAGUGUAGAGGUGAAAUUCGUAGAUAUUCGGAAGAACACCAGUGGCGAAGGCGACUCACUGGCCCAAUACUGACGCUGAGGCGCGAAAGCGUGGGGAGCAAACAGGAUUAGAUACCCUGGUAGUCC
RNAcentral lists this ribosomal RNA (425 nucleotides) under uncultured bacterium. RNAcentral's name for it is "partial 16S ribosomal RNA". It matches the Rfam family "Bacterial small subunit ribosomal RNA", at positions 354 to 796 of the family's 1533-position model. The record is from RNAcentral.